RNAcentral lists this transfer RNA (73 nucleotides) under Camelus bactrianus (Bactrian camel). It matches the Rfam family "tRNA". From Rfam's summary of the family: Transfer RNA (tRNA) molecules are approximately 80 nucleotides in length. Their secondary structure includes four short double-helical elements and three loops (D, anti-codon, and T loops). Lineage: Eukaryota; Metazoa; Chordata; Mammalia; Artiodactyla; Camelidae. RNAcentral also lists the same sequence under 2 other names. The record is from Rfam by way of RNAcentral.
GAGGGAAUAGCUGAAGUGGUAGAGUACAUGCUUAGCAUGUAUGAGAUCCUGGGUUCAAUUCCCAGUACUUCCU